This 433-nucleotide ribosomal RNA is filed under the name uncultured bacterium. RNAcentral describes it as "partial 16S ribosomal RNA". It matches the Rfam family "Bacterial small subunit ribosomal RNA", at positions 354 to 796 of the family's 1533-position model. The record is from RNAcentral.
GUGGGGAAUUUUUGGCAAUGGGGGCAACCCUGACCAAGCAACGCCGCGUGGGUGAUGAAGUCUCUUGGGACGUAAAACCCUUUCGACGGGGAAGAAACCGCAAGGUUGACGGUACCCGUAGAAGAAGCCCCGGCUAACUACGUGCCAGCAGCCGCGGUAAUACGUAGGGGGCAAGCGUUGUCCGGAAUUAUUGGGCGUAAAGCGCUCGCAGGCGGUCUUUUAAGUCUGAUGUGAAAGCCCACGGCUUAACCGUGGAGGGUCAUUGGAAACUGGAGGACUUGAGUACAGAAGAGGAGAGUGGAAUUCCACGUGUAGCGGUGAAAUGCGUAGAGAUGUGGAGGAACACCAGUGGCGAAGGCGACUCUCUGGUCUGUAACUGACGCUGAGGAGCGAAAGCGUGGGGAGCAAACAGGAUUAGAUACCCCAGUAGUCC